UGAUGCGGUAGAGGGCCAAGUAGCUGGUGAAGGUUUCCAAUUAAGGGUAAUUUCCAAGGUCCAGGAGGUGGAUUUGAACUUGAUUUGUUGUUAACAUAAGUUA
This is a long non-coding RNA of Populus euphratica (Euphrates poplar), 103 nucleotides long. RefSeq lists it as uncharacterized. NCBI's taxonomy places the organism in Eukaryota, Viridiplantae, Streptophyta, Magnoliopsida, Malpighiales, Salicaceae. The transcript has 3 exons. The record is from RefSeq and is a predicted model, not a curated record.